This 1149-nucleotide unclassified non-coding RNA is filed under the name Hevea brasiliensis (rubber tree). Lineage: Eukaryota; Viridiplantae; Streptophyta; Magnoliopsida; Malpighiales; Euphorbiaceae. The record is from RNAcentral.
UUUUGCUGCUGCUGUUCAUUUCUCCUUUACUUUUUCUUUUCUUUUUUGCCCUUCUCUUUGUUUUAGAGUUUCUCUUCUUUGGUCGUUUUUUGUCUGAAUUUUGUGUUGCUGCCGGGUUUUUGGUCUCGAAUGGAGAUGGAUUUUUUGGGUUUGAGCUCUAAGGAGCCAUUGGCUGUGGUGAAAGAGGAGAUUGACAAUGAUGGAGCACAAGAUUCUGGGUAUACUAAAAGCUCUGGUGUUCCAUGGUCCUCUAACAAGGCCUCUGCUCUUCCUCAUCUGAUGCCUUUCAAGAUUUCUGCAGAGGACAAGACUUCAAAGCUUGGUUCUGAUCCGGUCAUGGGUACUUCAGAUCAACGUGGAGCAGCCGAAAUCCAGAAAACGUUCAAUCACGAUAGGCAAGGUGGUCCUCAUUUUUCCCUGGCAGCUUAUCCUAUGCAACCUGAUUUGUAUUCGAUUCAUCGUCCUCACGAAGCAAAACUAUUUUCAGUUCAAAAUCAAGGUAUAUCUGUUUCCUUAGGCAAUCCAUCCUUGAAGAACCCUUUUACUCUUCCUGGUCAGAUGGCUGGUUCUAUCCUCAAACAACCACUUGGAGGAGUCCCUGUUUCGAGUGCUCCGAAUUCGUUUUUCUCACCAUUUGGUUCCAUUGUUGGGAUGACUGAACCAUGGAAUAGCAUGAAACCUACUGGUGGGUCUCCAAAUCAAUUGACUAUUUUUUAUGGCGGUACCGUUAAUGUCUACAAUGACAUUACCCCUGAAAAGGCUCAGGCUAUAAUGUUUUUGGCUGGGGCUGGGGCUGCUAUAUCCAACAUUGCACAUCCAAAAGCUCAAGCUCAUGGAAUGGGUGCAAAAAUGGCUGCAGCAAGUGAUGCUGCUCCUGUGAACCAGCCCGUAAGUGCCUUGCCUUGCCCUGCUCUCUCUAGCCCCUUGUCUGUUUCUUCUCACACGGGUGCCCAGUCUGCAAGUGGGUCAAGCUGCACUGAUGAGUUGAGAGGAGCUAAAACCAAUGGAGUUCCCACAACUCCUAUCAGCAAAGUAGAGCCUCCAAGAAUAGUCAAUCCGGUCGGAUCUGUCACUGCUAGUGCUAUGAUGCCAUCUGCUGUUCCACAGGCUCGUAAGGCAUCCUUAGCUCGGUUUUUGGAGAAGCGCAAG